This is a long non-coding RNA of Panicum virgatum (switchgrass), 2029 nucleotides long. RefSeq lists it as uncharacterized. The record is from RefSeq and is a predicted model, not a curated record. NCBI's taxonomy places the organism in Eukaryota, Viridiplantae, Streptophyta, Magnoliopsida, Poales, Poaceae. The transcript has 3 exons.
CCCUAGCCACUUCCUUCUCCCUCCGGUCGUCGCCUCUCGUUCUCUCUCACCCCCACCUCUGAGCCGCCGUCGCCCUCCUCCGUGGUUGCUUCAAGGGCCCGCUGGGCCAUCGCCUCCGCCACCAUGCCGGCACAACCCCUUCACAGAUCCGCUUGGGCACCCGUUUAUGCCACCACGCCAGAUCCCCUCUCCCUCCCUUCCCUACCAGGUCCCCUCAGAUCCAUCCGUCGCCGCAGUUCCCAUCUCCUCCACGCGCCACUCCCUCCUCCCGUCAUCGUGUCGCUCCCCCCUUUGGCUUGACGCGCCGCCACCGAACGGCACUCCCCUCGGCCUCCGUCCUGCGACGUGUGGCCAGAUCUAGCGGGGGGCGCCCUACAUGCCAUCCGCUUGGUGGCCGGCCGCCACAGCAUCCCUCGCGGGGGUGCGUUGGUGCGCGGAUCCGGCAAGGGUAGCGCCACGAAGCAGGUGCAGCGGCCGGCCUGCUGGUGGCGGGCGUGGGAUCCUGCAUCCUGCAUCUCCGUCCGCCGCGUCCUGCAUCUCCGGCCAUCGCGGACCAAGAUCAGGCAGCACGGGUGUACGACCAGUAGCUUGGUGUGGCGGCCACUGUGAUGGCGAGGGGCACUGGCGACGCAGGGCUACAGCAGCGUGCGUGCGCCACCGAGGGGCGUGCGCGGGCAUGGCAGCCUGCGGGACCAGCAGCGGCAGUAGUAGGGCGAGGCCUUCCACGUAGAUCUUGGCCGCGAGCUGCCGAGCACACCGUGAAGGAUGACGCCGACGUGGUGCUGUAGCAGAUGGAGGGCGACUGCAUCCAGGGGAGAUUUGGUGGUGUUUGUCGAUGCACAGGUCUUCCUUGCCUGGUCAGGAUACCUUUCUUCUGUUCUGAACUCAUUGAACUUGAGUAGAACAUUCUAAAUACAACUACACUACAAGCUAACCAUUUUCAAGUGCUGCUGCCUUUCUAGUGCUUAUGCAUAUCUAAGGAAACCAAGAGUCCCACUGUUGAGCUUUUUUUUGCCCUAGUCCAAUUUUUUGUGCUGUUUUUGCCUUUAAAAGUAUGACAACCAAAUGAUAUAUAUCCUUGAAAAGUUAUAUCAUUGAGAGAUGUUACCUAUAUUCUGCUAUAGCCUGAAACUUUUGUAUGGCUUCAAACUAUGCAUCAAUUACAAUAUGUGGGUGCUGUAGGUCGAUUUGGCUCUAGGACAAGCAGCAUGUUGUUUUCAUGCUAUAGUGAUGCUACUGUUGGCUCUAUCAUUUAAUCCUUAAUAACUUGACUGAUGCAACUCUAUCCUGUAUUUUUCUUAUUGUCUUGAUUAAGCGAUCUCUUCUUUUUCUAUGCCUGACGAUGUACCUUCCUUUUUUUUCUAACUUCUUUUUGUUGCAUUGAAAAGAGCCAUUAGUUUGGACUUGCUGGAAAAGAGCCAGAUCAAGAAAUGAGGUGGCUGAGCUUGGAAUUUGAUGGCUGCUGUUAGUGUAGCUGAACUUCAAGGCUGUGAUAACUUUUGGUACUUCGGAACUUGGUGGUGUAUGUGGCUGCUGGAACUUGGUGCUAGCUGCUGGUUGCUUGCAGGUUUGUGCUUUUGGUGGAUGGAGUUUUCUUUUUGCAUUGGUUGCUAUAACGCAGGAUUUUUUGGCACUAGUUGCUGGCUGCUAGCUGCUAGCAGGGAUGCAGGCUGGAGCUUAGCGGUGGCUGCUUGGUGGAAAUUUUUGCUGGCUGCUGGUAUAGUAGUGCCUGCUAGGUGGAUUUUUUUAGUGCAGGAACUUAUCUCGGUUAUCCCUUGGAUACUACUUAUUAGAAUGUUGACGACAGAGCACUACAUGUUGGAACUUUUUAGUCGGCUGGGACUUCUGUAGUUGGAUGGUGGAUGGAUCAUUUUAUAUUUAUGUUUUAGGAUUUUGUAUAGAAACAUGUUGGAUAUUGUAUUUUGUGUGCUUUUGUAUCGAAACAUGAUGGAAAUAGUAUUUUGGAAUGUAUAGUUUGGAAAAUUAAUUAGUCCUGGAAUGUGAUUAUAAUAUAAUUAUGGUUGGCUCA